CUGGCGACCGGCGCACGGGUGAGUAACACGUAUCCAACCUGCCGAUAACUCGGGGAUAGCCUUUCGAAAGAAAGAUUAAUACCCGAUAGCAUAAUGAUUCCGCAUGGUUUCAUUAUUAAAGGAUUCCGGUAAAGGAUGGGGAUGCGUUCCAUUAGGUUGUUGGUGAGGUAACGGCUCACCAAGCCUUCGAUGGAUAGGGGUUCUGAGAGGAAGGUCCCCCACAUUGGAACUGAGACACGGUCCAA
RNAcentral lists this ribosomal RNA (245 nucleotides) under uncultured bacterium. RNAcentral's name for it is "partial 16S ribosomal RNA". It matches the Rfam family "Bacterial small subunit ribosomal RNA", at positions 88 to 334 of the family's 1533-position model. The record is from RNAcentral.